Molecule: non-coding RNA, 2115 nt
Organism: Misgurnus anguillicaudatus (oriental weatherfish)
Lineage: Eukaryota; Metazoa; Chordata; Actinopteri; Cypriniformes; Cobitidae
Source: RefSeq, a predicted model, not a curated record
AAAGCUGAUUCCAGCUACAGGUUCAUACUGUUGUAUUCUUUUAUACUGUUUCAUUCGUACUGUUUUAAAUCAUUCAGUAAAUGCAAAGUUAAACCGUCGUGUUUUUCAUCUAGAUUUAAAAGUGUCUACCGUUGAAACACAUCUGAUCUCUUCUGAAAGCUGAUUCCAGCUCCAGGUGGCAUAUUAACUGAAUGCUGAUGCACCUUGUAUUUCGAUUGCUUUGUAUGCUUGAAACAUGUGAAGAAUUGACAAUAAAUAAUCUUUAUCAAGUGUUAUACAUUAAAAAGUGGAUAAGUAACAAAAAUGUCACUCCUGACAGCUGAUAAAUUAAUGUUUUUUUAUAGCACCAUUGAGGCGAGCACUUUUCAAGGCAAGAUUCUUUAUAGAACCUUAUAAAAAGUUUCCAUAUAGUACCAAAAAACGGGUUCUGCUGUGGUUACAUGCUGAGGAACCCUUAUUUGGUACUUUUUAGGAGCAUUUGUCUUAAGAGUGUUGCAUAGGUUCGAAACUUUCAAACUUGAAACCAAAUAGAAGGGUCACACUGUUUUUUUUUUGUGGAGUGGACAUGAACAAGCUGCAGGCAUUCAAAUGUUAUUUGUAAUUUAUUGUCUUAUUUCAUAUUUAAAAAAUAGCUAUACAACUGGUGUUCCUCAAUUUUAGGGCCUAUUUUGUUUAGUAUAUCAGUUUUGUUCAGUUUUUUAUGUGCAUGCAAAAAGCAAUCAGCAAGCAAAUUAACUGAAGCUUUACCUUCAUGUUCUUUUUGUGUAAGUGAUAACUGUUUCUGUAUGUAUUUUAUGUAUUUGUAUGUUUUUUACACGUAUAGAGUGAAAUGCACACGGUGAGGAAUGGACCCAGACCUUCAGUGCCAGACCUCUGACCCGUUAACCUCCAUCCCGACAGCCAGCGCCUUCUCCGGCUCCCAUUGCGGUAUCGCUUCUCGGCUUUUUGGACAAGAACAAGUGGACACCGGGGACUACAAGUUUAAAUGGAUUUUUGACCUUCGGAAAUGGAAGCGAGGCUUGCUCCGUCCACUCCGUUCAUCGACUCGGGCGCUUUCCGGGCACAAAUAAGUUUGCGGAGGUGAUACCAGGACGAAUUAAACAGCCUCGACACAGCUGAAGGCGCAAGAAAAUCGUACGAGACAGUUUGGGAUGUUAAAAACACCUGAAAACUUUUUUUCCACUACCCUUCAUACUACAGCGGUCGAAAAACCACAGCAACGUCGACACGCCUGGAAGCAUAGCUGUAUUUGUUUAAGACAACGGGUAAAGUAUUUUCUUGAUUACCUAAAUGACUUGCAGUAAGAAAAUAUUUUAAUUUAUAAUGAUAACUCUGUCAUCAUUUAUUCAUCCUCGUGUUGUUUUCAACCUGUAUGCAUUCGUAUUUUGGAGGUGACACGAUGACGACUUAAACAUCAUCGACACAGCUGAAAAAGCGAACGAGACAGAUUGGGAUGUUCAAAACACCUGAAAACUUUUUUUUCACUGUACUACAGCUGUCGAAGAACCACAGCAACGUCGGCAGAUCUGGAAGCAUAGCUGUAUUUGUUUAACUCACAACGACAACGGGUAAGUCAUUGAGCCCUUGUGUUUUUAUUUAUCCACGUUCUAAAAUUGCUAUGCUUUCGUUGUUUCUCGAUUGCUCUGUACAUUUCUUUGUUUCUAUUCCACGUAAAGUUACUUUGUAAUAACGAAACGAUAUAUUGAAAUGCGCUAUUUAAAUCCAUUUGAUUUAAAUUGUUUCACGUUUUUCUCUCUGCACGGUUUAACCGGGCUGGAAACGGAAAAUGGGUAGAUCUCGAAGAAUAUUUGGUUUCAGACCUGGCUUCGUGCGCCUUUCCACCUGGUCACACACAGUAAUGAAAUGGUAGUCGGACGGCCUUCGGGGGCGCCGUCGAUGUGAUCGGUCACAGGAAGAUGCGGCCGUCUGGCCUCAAAGGCUGUUGCUCAUACUUACCUGGCAGGGGAGAUACCAUGAUCAUGAAGGUGGUUCACCCAGGGCGAGGCUCAGCCAUUGCACUCCGGUUGUGCUGACCCUUUGCGAAUUCCCCAAAUGUGGGAAUCUCGACUGCAAAAUUUCUGAUAGUGGGGGACUGCGUUCGCGCUCUCCCCUGGC